GUGGUGGUCCACGCCUCCCAUUUUUACCCUUUAAGUUUUGUUGACACUCAACGAUUGCAAAUAAUUUCAUUUGGUCUUGAGAUUUAUUAAAAUGCUCAGAUUCCUGCUGACUUUCGGAGCAGGAGUUUAUGCCGGAGUUUAUAUUAGCCAAAAUUAUGAGGUUCCAAGAGUAGACGAACCAGCAAAAUUAUGGGAGAAAGUCAAAGGAUGGGCGGAUCAGCAUAAAAAGGACAAAUAAAGCAGUACUAGUUUUAAAAUUAUUGAAGACCUUGAGAAAUGCACAGCUAGCACCUCGAAAGAGCAGAGGACUUAAAAUGAUUAAUUUAAAAUUUCUAUUAUUUUAAAAUACUGAAAAAUGAUUUUUGGUUCUUUAUUUCAAACUUAUGUUAAAAUCUCUUUGAGAUUCGAAAAAAAUGUGUAAUCAAGAUAAGUGAGAAUAAAUGAUAAAUAUUUGUAUAUUAAAA
Long non-coding RNA from Neocloeon triangulifer, 464 nucleotides. RefSeq lists it as uncharacterized. NCBI's taxonomy places the organism in Eukaryota, Metazoa, Arthropoda, Insecta, Ephemeroptera, Baetidae. The transcript is spliced from 4 exons. The record is from RefSeq and is a predicted model, not a curated record.